Molecule: unclassified non-coding RNA, 255 nt
Filed under: Hevea brasiliensis (rubber tree)
Lineage: Eukaryota; Viridiplantae; Streptophyta; Magnoliopsida; Malpighiales; Euphorbiaceae
Source: RNAcentral
UAAAAGAAGAUUUUUUCAGAGUGCUGGAGAAGCUGCUACCAACUUCCGAACUGAGGCGAGAUAUCACUACUCAAAUCCUUUUAUAUACACGGGCAUCUGGGAUGUUUGGUUGUAAUCUGGCGAAGGAAGCAAUUGAUACUGUUCCUCCAGGUAUCUGGUGGGAACAGUAUGGUGAUGCUGCUCCUACAUUGCAAAGAGUCGCUAUUAAAAUACUUAGCCAGGUGUGCAGUACGUUCACUUGUGAGCGACAUUGGA